This is a non-coding RNA of Ictalurus furcatus (blue catfish), 2620 nucleotides long. The record is from the annotation of a RefSeq genome assembly. Lineage: Eukaryota; Metazoa; Chordata; Actinopteri; Siluriformes; Ictaluridae.
AUGACUGAGAGCUGCUGCUCAGCAACUUCACCCACAGCAACCAUGACUUUGAUCAGCGUCUUCAUCUGCACACUGGCCCUCUGGACUCAAGGAUCCAGAGGUCAGGUGACUGUGACUCAGACUCCUUCAGUGCAAACUGCUGAUCCAGAAAAAACAGUCACCUUCAACUGUAGAACCAGUAGCAGCGUGUAUAAUGGUAACCAGCUACACUGGUACCUGCAGAAACCUGGAGAAGCUCCUAAACUCCUGAUCUACGAGGCUACUACUUUACAGUCAGGAACUCCAGCUCGUUUCAGUGGCAGUGGAUCUAAUACUGACUUCACUAUGACCAUCAGAGGAGUCCAGACUGAAGAUGCAGGCGAUUAUUACUGUCAGAGUGACCAUUAUAUCGGUAGUAGCUGGGUGUUCACACAGUGUUAGAGCGCCGUACAAAAACCUCGGUCAGUGAGAGUGCACAGAGAAGCACUGCUGCAGCUGGGAGCGACUGCAGGUGCUGAGGGGGAGGAUGUGAUACAGCACAAUGACACACACUGUGGACGAGAGAAAACACACCACACUAACUCACUAAUGCACACACACAUCUGUGAGAGGAGUCCACCUUUCUCAGCUGUGGACAUACAAACAAUUCCUCAUCAUUCUCAUUCACUGCUUAGUAAUUAUCUUUAUCCUGUUUUAGAAAGUUAAAGAAGUAUUUAUUAUAUUUAUAUUUUGUUACAUAUAUGAUUUACCAAAGAGUUCUUUAUGGUUAAUAUCAAACACUAUUAUAGAUUUAAUAUUUUAUUAUAUAAUCUUUAAUAUUCAUUAAAUUGAUUCACAUUAUAGAGCUGAGACUGACAUUUAACUGAACCUUUCUUUAAUUAUUAAUAAACCCUUAGAUAAUGAUUUUCUGUAUAAAGUCAUCAAAAACAAAAUAAAUCAGCAGCACGGUCAACAACCUGAGCCCUACAACAACCAUGCAGAAAGUCUGACCAAUCCCACAAGGUGUUGCAGAAAGUCUGAAUAAUCCCACCUGCUCCUGAUCAAACUCUCACCAAUCCCGCCCCACCCAGUCUCACAGUACAAACGUUUCCAUGUAACUUAUCUGUAGCUCCUUCUACAUGUUGAAUAUCAAUGUUCUGCCACAGGAAUAUGUGUAUUUCAGAAUCAAACCAAACAAAACAAAGAAAGAGAGGAAGGGACUUGAAGAAAAGUUCAGUGAGCAGGAGAAGUUUAAAUCAGUGGCGUGAGGAGAGGAGGAGUGGAGCUGUAGAAGACAGGAGGAGGAGAGAGGAAUAACAUCUUAUAUGAUAGUGAGGGCGUGGAAUGUCCAAAACGUCCUACAGAGGAGGGUCGAGGGCCGUGAUAAAUAUUCACCUCUAUGACAUAUUAAUAUUCAUGCACAUUACAAGCAAAAUAAUGCUGAAAACAUGUGUACAUGAAAUUCCAGGCAUCUCUCCUGAAUUUUAGAGUAAAGAAGUGAAGUGUCCCGCUUUGACAGCGUCACGUGUGAAAGUAGAGUCCAACAAGCAGAGAUUCUAAGAAGUACCGUUCUACCUGUGUUUGGUAUUUCUAAAUUUGUGUAAGGAAGAUUAUAAGCUUUUUAUCAUGGUUUUAUUUUUGUAUUUUAUGUGAAACGGUGAUGAUGGUUAAAAAAAGUGAUAGAAAAUGUCAUAUUUUCAAAAGCAACAGAUAGAUUUCACUCGCUUUGUUUACUUCCGGGUCAGUAGAGAUGUCACUCGGGGCAUUUUAUAGAUCAAUCUAUUGUAAACACGGCAUCACAGACACAAUGAAAAGAGAAAGUGAGAUAUACUGACACUUUAGGUAAUGGUUCAAAUGCAGUACACUUCACAAAACUCGAGUUAAAAGGUGGAAAAGACCCGUAUGAAGACAUUGUUAUGAAGGACUGGUCAACUGUUCUGGAUUCUUUCCCACUGUUGACAUACACAGACAUCAUGUGUCACCUGGUAAAUGGGAAAAGUGCUUAUAGCUUGGAACAAAUGAAAGCAUUCAAGUUACUUUAAUAAUAAAAUGACUUUAUUUGUGGAUUGUUUAGAGAUGUUCAACACACUGUACUUAACAACUGACAUCUCAUCUCCAUACUGCUAAGGUUUAUUUAUUUACUCAUCUUAUAAAAUGUAAUAUUGCACCUUAAUGACUGAAUGUACUGUAUAUGAUAUGAAUAAAAGCUCAGUAUUACUGUCUGAAUAUUCUGGUGUAAGCUUCUUUAAGAACUGUUUUAAACUGCUCAGGUUGGGAAAAAUCAUAAAGUGGUCCCGUAGCAUGUAAAUUGCACUCGUCUUGUCAGUUUAAGAAGUUAUAUGUAGGUCCAAGUGAACCAGCCCUGAAUGAUCCUGCAAAUAUGAUAUCGGAUUCAUUUGUGCAGGAUUUUCAUGACGAAAUUGAGUCACUCAAGUGUAAAAUGUAGGUGAUGCUGACCCUUAACAUACAGUACAGUGAUGGUGAUUUUAAAUUCUGCUCUCUCCCUGGUGGGGAAAAAAACAAUUCUGUGUGAACAUGUGCUUUACAGUAUUGAUGUGUUUAUGAUUGGACCAGGUCUGAGCAUGUGCAAGUACAUUUUAUUUUCUUUCAAUAAACAUUUCAAAACAAUCAAUGAUGAGUGCAACCUUCAGUCCAAAGUUUC